AUUGAACGCUGGCGGAAUGCUUUACACAUGCAAGUCGAACGGCAGCACGGACUUCGGUCUGGUGGCGAGUGGCGAACGGGUGAGUAAUAUAUCGGAACGUGCCCAGGCGUGGGGGAUAACGUAGCGAAAGCUACGCUAAUACCGCAUACGAUCUACGGAUGAAAGCGGGGGAUCGCAAGACAGAGCGCGAUUGGAGCGGCCGAUAUCAGAUUAGGUAGUUGGUGAGGUAAAGGCUCACCAAGCCGACGUUCUGUAGCUGGUCUGAGAGGACGACCAGCCACACUGGGACUGAGACACGGCCCAGACUCCUACGGGAGGCAGCAGUGGGGAAUUUUGGACAAUGGACGCAAGUCUGAUCCAGCCAUUCCGCGUGCAGGACGAAGGCCUUCGGGUUGUAAACUGCUUUUGUACAGAACGAAAAGGUCUCUAUUAAUACUAGGGGCUCAUGACGGUACUGUAAGAAUAAGCACCGGCUAACUACGUGCCAGCCGCCGCCGUA
This 499-nucleotide ribosomal RNA is filed under the name uncultured bacterium. RNAcentral describes it as "partial 16S ribosomal RNA". It matches the Rfam family "Bacterial small subunit ribosomal RNA", at positions 30 to 522 of the family's 1533-position model. The record is from RNAcentral.